AUGCACCGAAGCUGCGGCAGCGAUAUGUAAAUAUUGUUGGGUAGGGGAGCGUUCUGUAAGCCUGUGAAGGUGUACUGCGAGGUAUGCUGGAGGUAUCAGAAGUGCGAAUGCUGACAUAAGUAACGAUAAUGCGGGUGAAAAACCCGCACGCCGGAAGACCAAGGGUUCCUGUCCAACGUUAAUCGGGGCAGGGUGAGUCGACCCCUAAGGCGAGGCAGAAAUGCGUAGUCGAUGGGAAACGGGUUAAUAUUCCCGUACUGGUGAUAAUUGCGAUGGGGGGACGGAGAAGGCUAGGCUAUCCGGGCGACGGUUGUCCCGGUUUAAGGAUGUAGGCAGGUGAAUUAGGCAAAUCCGGUUCACUAUAUGCUGAGGUCCGACGACGAGUCACUACGGUGAUGAAGUAGCUCAUGCCCCGCUUCCAGGAAAAGCCUCUAAGCUCUAGAUUAUCAUUAAUCGUACCCCAAACCGACACAGGUGGUCAGGUAGAGAAUACUCAGGCGCUUGAGAGAACUCGGGUGAAGGAACUAGGCAAAAUGGUGCCGUAACUUCGGGAGAAGGCACGCUGGCGCUAGGUGAAGUCCCUCGCGGAUGGAGCUGAAGCCAGUCG
RNAcentral lists this ribosomal RNA (607 nucleotides) under Salmonella enterica subsp. enterica serovar Enteritidis. RNAcentral's name for it is "partial 23S ribosomal RNA". It matches the Rfam family "Bacterial large subunit ribosomal RNA", at positions 1189 to 1789 of the family's 2925-position model. The record is from RNAcentral. Lineage: Bacteria; Pseudomonadati; Pseudomonadota; Gammaproteobacteria; Enterobacterales; Enterobacteriaceae.